This 709-nucleotide long non-coding RNA is filed under the name Zonotrichia albicollis (white-throated sparrow). RNAcentral describes it as "lncRNA (ENSZALG00000003475.1)". Lineage: Eukaryota; Metazoa; Chordata; Aves; Passeriformes; Passerellidae. The record is from RNAcentral.
GUCUGGACAGCUAUGUGAUCCUGACUUGUUUUAAUGCAACACUGAGGUCAGAGAAAGCACCAGUUUCUUGAAACCACCUGAGUGAUCCAAGAGGAAAUUGAGGCAAAGAAACUUGGAGGUGUUGGAACACAGUGCUGACCCUCCUAGAAACUUCCUUUGUGUCCCAGCCAAGGGUUUUUCAGCCUCCACCCCACCAUUCAGCUCUGGAAACCCUGUCGCAAUGAGAGUCAUGGAAGCACAAAGGACUUUCUAUCAAGGUAUCUUGCUUUCAAAGGACUAAGAAGUACUACUAAAUUUUGUUUUCUGUUGGUAUUCGUUUCAAGUUUUGUAGCAGACCUUUGCUGUGAACACUGUCAAUUCACCUAACUCCUCAGAAAGGGAUCAAAGCAAAUUUAUUGCUGGAUCCAGAAUGGUUUUCAUUUACUAAUUUCUCUAACAGAUUAUCUUCCAAGGUAAUCUGCUGCAUUGGCUAAGAAGGCAGAAUCUUGUCUUCAUCAGGACUGAAAGAGUACAGAUUAUACUCUCCCACUAAUACACUCUUACAGUUUAUCACAGACACAGCCAAAACCUCUGAAAGUAAAAAAUGUAGGAGAUGGAUGUAAUGAAUUUGAUUAGAUAUUUUUUCAUAACUCAGGGAACUCCUUGCACCAAAAUCUGUAAGAGCUUUGUUUAAAUAAUUGACAGUAAUUUGCAAAAGCUUAACAAUAUU